This 1943-nucleotide ribosomal RNA is filed under the name human gut metagenome. RNAcentral's name for it is "bacterial LSU rRNA". It matches the Rfam family "Bacterial large subunit ribosomal RNA", at positions 516 to 2481 of the family's 2925-position model. The record is from RNAcentral.
GAAAAGAACCCCGGGAGGGGAGUGAAAGAGAACCUGAAACCAUAUGCCUACAAGAAGUCAGAGCCCGUUAAAGGGUGAUGGCGUGCCUUUUGUAGAAUGAACCGGCGAGUUACUGUAUGGAGCGAGGUUAAGCAGGAUAUGCGGAGCCGAAGCGAAAGCGAGUCUUAAGAGGGCGAAAGUUGCAUGCAGUAGACCCGAAACCGGGUGAUCUAGCCAUGACCAGGUUGAAGUUGGGGUAAAACCCGAUGGAGGACCGAACCGACCCCCGUUGAAACGUUGGCGGAUGAGUUGUGGCUAGGGGUGAAAUUCCAAUCGAACCCGGAGAUAGCUGGUUCUCCCCGAAAUAGCUUUAGGGCUAGCGUCGAGGUAAGUUGCGUGAAGGUAGAGCACUGAAUAUGUGAUGGCCCCAUCUCGGGGUACUGAGCAUAAUCAAACUGCGAAUGUCACGCCAACAUGCUCGGCAGUCAGACAGCGGGUGAUAAGGUCCGUUGUCAAGAGGGAAACAGCCCAGACCAUCAGCUAAGGUCCCAAAAUGUAUGCUAAGUGGAAAAGGAUGUGGAGAUGUACAGACAACUAGGAGGUUGGCUCAGAAGCAGCCAUCCUUUAAAGAGUGCGUAACAGCUCACUAGUCGAAUGACUCUGCGCCGAUAAUUUACCGGGGCUAAGCAUACUACCGAAGCUAUGGAUCCCAAGGGAUGGUAGGGGAGCGUUCCAUGAACGGAGAAGUACGACCGAAAGGACGUGUGGAGAUCAUGGAAGAGAGAAUGCCGGUGUGAGUAGCGGAACGUGGGUGAGAAUCCCACGCACCGAAAACCCAAGGUUUCCAGAGGAAGGUUCGUCCGCUCUGGGUAAGUCGGGACCUAAGGCGAGGCCGAAAGGCGUAGUCGAUGGACAACAGGUAGAGAUUCCUGUACCCGUAUAUAUGUGAAGGAAUGACGGAGAGAGGAAGCUGCAGCCAGCGGCUGGAAGAGCUGGUGCAAGCGAGAUAUCGGGAUGGCAGGCAAAUCCACCAUCCGAAACGAGAAGGCGUGAAGCGUACGGAAAGCUACGGCGAGUACGGAAGGCAGUGGAGGAACUUCCAAGAAAAGUUUCUAACGUUAAGUAUAUAUGGCCCGUACCGAAAAUGGACACACAUGGGUGAGGAGAGAAUCCUAAGGUGAGCGAGAGAACUAUAGCUAAGGAACUCUGCAAAAUGACUCCGUAACUUAGGGAGAAGGAGUGCUCAUAGAGAUAUGAGCCGCAGUGAAACGGCCCAAGCGACUGUUUACCAAAAACACAGCUCUCUGCUAAGCCGCAAGGCGAAGUAUAGGGGGUGACGCCUGCCCGGUGCUGGAAGGUUAAGGGGAGGGGUUAACGCAAGUGAAGCCCUGAACUGAAGCCCCUAUAAACGGCGGCCGUAACUAUAACGGUCCUAAGGUAGCGAAAUUCCUUGUCAGGUAAGUUCUGACCCGCACGAAAGGCGUAACGAUUUGGGCGCUGUCUCAGCUGUAGACUCGGUGAAGUCUUAGUACCUGUGAAGAUGCAGGUUACCCGCGACUAGACGGAAAGACCCCAUGGAGCUUCACUGCAGGUUGAUAUUGGGAUUUGAUGCAGCAUGUACAGGAUAGGUAGGAGGCAAAGAGAUGGAUACGCCAGUAUUCAAGGAGCCGCUGUUGGGAUACUACCCCUGUUGUAUUGGAUUUCUAACCGGACGACGUAGAGCCGUUGACGGGACAGUGUCAGUCGGGCAGUUUGACUGGGGCGGUCGCCUCCCAAAGAGUAACGGAGGCGCCCAAAGAUACCCUCAGCUUGGAUGGAAACCAAGCGCAGAGUGCAAAGGCAAAAGGGUGUUUGACUGCGAGACCCACAAGUCGAGCAGGGACGAAAGUCGGGCUUAGUGAUCCGGCGGUGCUGAAUGGAAAGGCCGUCGCUCAACGGAUAAAAGCUACCCUGGGGAUAACAGG